Non-coding RNA from Triticum aestivum (bread wheat), 72 nucleotides. The record is from Rfam. Lineage: Eukaryota; Viridiplantae; Streptophyta; Magnoliopsida; Poales; Poaceae.
GGUUUCGUAGUGUAGUGGUUAGCACUCCAGACUUUGAAUCUGGCGACCUGGGUUCAAAUCCCAGCGAGACCU